UAGGGAAUCUUCCGCAAUGGGCGAAAGCCUGACGGAGCAACGCCGCGUGAGUGAUGAAGGUCUUCGGAUCGUAAAACUCUGUUAUUAGGGAAGAACAAAUGUGUAAGUAACUAUGCACGUCUUGACGGUACCUAAUCAGAAAGCCACGGCUAACUACGUGCCAGCAGCCGCGGUAAUACGUAGGUGGCAAGCGUUAUCCGGAAUUAUUGGGCGUAAAGCGCGCGUAGGCGGUUUUUUAAGUCUGAUGUGAAAGCCCACGGCUCAACCGUGGAGGGUCAUUGGAAACUGGAGAACUUGAGUGCAGAAGAGGAAAGGGGAAUUCCAUGUGUAGCGGUGAAAUGCGCAAAGAUAUGGAGGAACACCAGUGGCGAAGGCGACUUUCUGGUCUGUAACUGAAGCUGAUGUGCGAAAGCGUGGGGAUCAAACAGG
Molecule: ribosomal RNA, 429 nt
Filed under: Actinomycetes bacterium
Lineage: Bacteria; Bacillati; Actinomycetota; Actinomycetes
Description: Actinobacteria bacterium partial 16S ribosomal RNA
Rfam family: Bacterial small subunit ribosomal RNA
Source: RNAcentral